UAGGGAAUAUUGGACAAUGGAGGCAACUCUGAUCCAGCCAUCCCGCGUGAAGGAUUAAGGCCCUCUGGGUUGUAAACUUCUUUUUUCUGGGGAUAAAAACUCGUAUUCAUAUGAGCCUGAAGGUACCAGAAGAAUAAGCACCGGCUAACUCCGUGCCAGCAGCCGCGGUAAUACGGAGGGUGCAAGCGUUAUCCGGAUUCACUGGGUUUAAAGGGUGCGUAGGCGGCUUUGUAAGUCAGUGGUGAAAGCUUAGAGCUCAACUCUAAAACUGCCAUUGAUACUGCUUAGCUUGAAUCAACUUGAGGUGGAUGGAAUGUAACAUGUAGCGGUGAAAUGCUUAGAUAUGUUACAGAACACCGAUUGCGAAGGCAGUUCACUAAAGUUGUAUUGACGCUGAGGCACGAAAGCGUGGGGAUCAAACA
RNAcentral lists this ribosomal RNA (422 nucleotides) under uncultured bacterium. RNAcentral describes it as "bacterial SSU rRNA". It matches the Rfam family "Bacterial small subunit ribosomal RNA", at positions 355 to 774 of the family's 1533-position model. The record is from RNAcentral.